Molecule: small RNA, 33 nt
Filed under: Bombyx mori (domestic silkworm)
Lineage: Eukaryota; Metazoa; Arthropoda; Insecta; Lepidoptera; Bombycidae
Description: ovarian small RNA-16648
Source: RNAcentral
GCCCCUGUGAUUGCAGGGGGGGGAUGCCUAUGC